Galleria mellonella (greater wax moth) is the source of this 916-nucleotide long non-coding RNA. RefSeq lists it as uncharacterized. The transcript is spliced from 3 exons. The record is from RefSeq and is a predicted model, not a curated record. Lineage: Eukaryota; Metazoa; Arthropoda; Insecta; Lepidoptera; Pyralidae.
GUCAGCGCUUGUGUGUGUACAUUAGGAGCUCGUGUUCAUGCCAAUACAUGCUAACCGCAGAUUGUAGAUUCGUGUUCACAAAGACAAAAGGAAUAUAACGUACCAAUUAAAUUACAACAAAAUGGGUGUACGUCCACAAAUAAAGCAAAAUAAAGAAUAGCUAUAAAUAGAAUUUAAUAGUACCACUGCUAUCGGUGACGUCCAAUGUUCCACGGUCCACAAUGGCCACAGAUCACCAAAAUCACUUCACGACGUCACGUGUAACAUUCGAAUUUCAAAACCAUGUGACGUUAGUGCGGUGAAAGAACGAACAAGAAACAUCGAAACAACUCGUCCUCAAAGGAGAAGAUGAAAGAAAAACAAUAAACUGUUUCAAUAACGCAAAACAACAAAGUUUGUUUAGAGAAGUUUGCGAAGGGGUGAAACGUCGGGAAAUGGGGGGAUACCUCACACCUCUGGGUGGCUACAACUUAAGCAUUAUUGAUACAAUGUUGUGUUUAACAUUCACUCAACGAGAUGAAAGUAAUGACUGUGUAAUACGAUAACAUCUGACUUAAAGAUAUAAUUAGCAAUCGAAUGUUUAAUCGACAUUUGGAGCAAUCAAUGAAAUUAAAUCAUUCCAAUGGAAUAAGGAAUUGAUUAAUAUAAUCGUAACAUAAUUUAUUAUCCUUAACAUGAUUCCAUUUAUUUAUACUAGUGAAAAAAAAAUUAAGAAAGGAUAGUCGAUCAGAAAUGAUGUACUCGUAUUGUAAUGAAUUUAUUCUGCAUAGCUUAAAUAUUAUUUUCCUUUUGAUACACAAUUAAUGAAAUCAAAGACUUAUCAACUAUGUAAACUUCAUUUUCAGGUGUACUGAAGUUUUAAAACUGAUCGCGUGUAUAAAUAUUAAAAAUAUUAUAAUAAAUACAGUGAAACAAA